This 253-nucleotide ribosomal RNA is filed under the name uncultured bacterium. RNAcentral describes it as "partial 16S ribosomal RNA". It matches the Rfam family "Bacterial small subunit ribosomal RNA", at positions 524 to 776 of the family's 1533-position model. The record is from RNAcentral.
UACGUAGGGUGCAAGCGUUAAUCGGAAUUACUGGGCGUAAAGCGUGCGCAGGCGGUGAUGUAAGACAGAUGUGAAAGCCCCGGGCUCAACCUGGGAACCGCAUUUGAGACUGGCCGACUCGAGUUCGGGAGAGGAUAGUGGAAUUCCCAGUGUAGAAGUGAAAUUCGUAGAUAUUGGGAAGAACACCGAUGGCGAAGGCAGCCCCCUGGGUCAAGAUUGACGCUCAUGCACGAAAGCGUGGGGAGCAAACAGG